This 561-nucleotide unclassified non-coding RNA is filed under the name Hevea brasiliensis (rubber tree). Lineage: Eukaryota; Viridiplantae; Streptophyta; Magnoliopsida; Malpighiales; Euphorbiaceae. The record is from RNAcentral.
UGGAUGGCACUGUGUUGACCCUCUAUAGAACAGCUUGUGUAUCUGGCUUGGCAUCAAAAAUCUUAGCUAGGGAUGAUAGCAAAGUGCUGGUGAUGGUUGGUGCAGGUGCUUUGGCACCCCAUUUGAUCAAGGCCCAUCUCGCUGCAAAACCCAGUUUGGCGAAAGUGAUAAUUUGGAACAGGACGAUGAAGAAAGCAGCUGAUUUGGUGGAGGAACUUAGGGUAGAAUGCCCUGAAAAGGUGUGUUUUGAGAGUAAUGAUAAUUUGGAGGAAAUAAUUGGAUUGGGUGAUAUUGUGAGUUGCGCUACAAAUGCUGAUAGGCCUUUGGUGAAGGGCGAGAAACUGAAGCCAGGAGCCCAUUUGGAUCUGGUAGGAUCUUUCAAGGAGACAAUGAGGGAAUGUGAUGAUGAGGCAAUAAGGAGAGGGAGAGUGUUUGUGGAUAACGAGGCAGCAUUGGUGGAGGCAGGGGAGAUCGUCGGAGCUCUUGAGAGAGGAGUGAUUGAUAAAAAAGAUGUUGGCUAUUUGGUGGAAUUGAUCAAAGGGGAUGAAGCUGGAAGGAGGG